Non-coding RNA from Paramormyrops kingsleyae, 856 nucleotides. The record is from RefSeq and is a predicted model, not a curated record. Lineage: Eukaryota; Metazoa; Chordata; Actinopteri; Osteoglossiformes; Mormyridae.
AAAUGUCAUUCAACUGUUAAACACUUUUUUUAAAAACUCUGGAAAAUGGAUAUGAGGUGUUUAUCGCAUUAGGAAUAUGUGCUUCUGAAAUUCUGUAGAGGAUGGUGCAUUCUGUAGCCUUUGCUUUCUCUCCCUUCACCUGGACAUUAUACGUUUUACCAAAACUCUUUUUGCUCAAGGAUUGCUUGAUACCAUCAAAAUGUUCCUGAUGAGACUGCCUUAAAAAAUCACUGUUCACUGAGUCACUGUUACAUGUGUUUAGCACAUAUAUAACUUAAUAAAACUUGUUUGGGUUGAAAAGUGUUACUUACGUAUAAAAUAAAGCAGCAUUCUUGGCGUUUCUUCCGCAGGCCAUGUACCCAAAUGAAAAACGGUCCCUUUUUUUUAGAUCCUUUGGGAUAGUCUCCAACUAAAAUUAAGAAAUGCUUGGAGUCGACAAGGGCAUUCCUGCUCAGCAAAGGCUGCAGUGUUCCAAGGUGGACCUGCAAUACUCUCCCUCACAAAUGUCAGAAAGACAGCACAUCCUGUGGUGUCUUGGCUUUGAAAUUUGCUGAGAGCAUUUUGCAGGGGGAGGAUAUUAAUAUCGACACAGACCAAAAGGCAAUAGAGAAGCUGAGGCUGGAUAUUGCCAUGACUCUCGUCCGAGAAUCUGACAAUCUCAGCAACCUCUGCCAUUUUUGUGGGUUGAAGGAGUCUGGCAAACUAUGGGUAUGCUGUGAUGUUUGCAGCAGAUGGUACCACCACGACUGCAUGCAGAAUCCUCCUGUUGAUCAGGACUAUAUUUGUCCAGCAUGCACAUAAGUAAUUGUCAGUUUAUUAGUUUUGUGUUUUAUGUAGGCUUGCUUAUUUAUUUUAU